CGCGGGCAGGCGGGCAUCUGGCGGCCGAGGCCGGGACUUCGGGGCCCCUCCCGGGCGAGUCGCGGGGCGGCGGCGGGAAGGGGCGCCGCACGGAGGAAGUGCCCUCUUGGCCGCAGCCAGAGCCGCGCCGCAGGUGCCGCGAUGUCGUCCUGGCCGGGGCGCGAGGAUGCGAGGGCUGGGGGCGCGUGGUGGCCGCGGGAGCCGCUGGAUCAGGAACUGCAGCGGGCCCGGGAGCAGAAGCGGCGGCGGCACGACGCCCAGCAGCUGCAGCAGCUCAAGCGCCUGGAGUCCUUUUAUGAAAAACCUCCUCCUGGGCUUAUCAAGGUUGGCAUUGCAAAUGGUAUGGUCACCGAACAGGCUACAAAGAAUGCCCUUUCUUUAUCAAAGACAACCAAAAGUUACAACAGUUCAGAGUAGCACAUGAGGAUUUCAUGUAUGACAUCAUACGAGACAAUAAACAACAUGAAAAGAAUGUAAGGUGAGGUUGUCCUGGUGAUAGUAUCUAUUUAAAGUUUUAACUUAUAUAAAGUUGGAAAAAAACCUUCUAGCACUAGGAGAGUGAUAUAGUAAACAUGGCACUUCAAUUGUGAAAUAUUUAUUGGGUAGGAGUCAUGGCUGACAAGACCAGUGUUGGGGAAUCAGCAGGCCAGCCUCCUC
RNAcentral lists this long non-coding RNA (657 nucleotides) under Homo sapiens (human). Its description in RNAcentral is "non-protein coding lnc-KBTBD2-2:7". The record is from RNAcentral. Lineage: Eukaryota; Metazoa; Chordata; Mammalia; Primates; Hominidae.